This 235-nucleotide long non-coding RNA is filed under the name Trifolium pratense (red clover). RNAcentral's name for it is "long non-coding RNA (TPRA_LNC008527)". The record is from RNAcentral. Lineage: Eukaryota; Viridiplantae; Streptophyta; Magnoliopsida; Fabales; Fabaceae.
AGCACCCACUAGGCUCAAAAUAAAACCUAGGAAACUUACGGCGAAAACCCAUCAGUUCUAACCCAACAAAAUACAUGUGAACUGAAUAUCCAACGCAGAUUUAACUGACCUAAGCAUAGAUCGUGAAUCACAUCCGGUGGAGGUGGUGAGAACGACCACCAACGACAACGGUUAAGGAAUCCAGAGGAUUCACGACCCCAAUUGGGGGUUUGAAAGUGAUGUGGAAGGGUGGUGU